UCCGGUUGGCCCCGCAUGGCGCGGGGAGCGGACUGUUAAUCCGCAUGCGGCAGGUUCGAUUCCUGCAGCCGGAGCCA
This 77-nucleotide transfer RNA is filed under the name Gammaproteobacteria bacterium. RNAcentral describes it as "tRNA-Asn". It matches the Rfam family "tRNA". From Rfam's summary of the family: Transfer RNA (tRNA) molecules are approximately 80 nucleotides in length. Lineage: Bacteria; Pseudomonadati; Pseudomonadota; Gammaproteobacteria. The record is from RNAcentral.